CCGUGAACGAAUAUUAGUUCUCCCUUAAUUUUACCCCCUAGACUCGAUUACUUGCUCGUAGUAAAUUAAGAGUAAUUUAAAGGAGGUACAGCUCCUUUAAAACAGAACACAAUCUCCCCCAGAGGAUAAGCCAAAGUACUCCCAAACUUGUAGGCCUUUAAGCAGCCACCAACAAAGAAUGCGUCAAAGCUCCUCACACUAAAAAUACAAGACCCUACGCGACUCCCUCACUCAUAACGGGCUAACCUAUUAAAUAUAGGAGCAUUAAUGCUAAAAUAAGUAACUAAGGACCUUCCUUCUAAAGCACAAACUUACAUCUUCACAUUAUUAACAGGCCCAUUAAUAGUCCAACCACUACAAGACUAACUAUCUAAUACCCUGUUAGACCAACCCAGGAGUGCUCAACUAGAAAGAUUCAAACCUGUAAAAGGAACUAGGCAAACCCAAGGCCCGACUGUUUACCAAAAACAUAGCCUUCAGCAAAACAACCAAGUAUUGAAGGUGAUGCCUGCCCAGUGACACUAAGUUUAACGGCCGCGGUAUCCUAACCGUGCAAAGGUAGCGCAAUCAAUUGUCUCAUAAAUCGAGACUUGUAUGAACGGCCAAACGAGGUCUUAACUGUCUCUUACAGGUAAUCAGUGAAAUUGAUCUCCCCGUGCAAAAGCAGGGAUAGACCCAUAAGACGAGAAGACCCUGUGGAACUUAAAAACCGACAGCCACUCUACAAACUCAAAACCCCAUAGGGCCCAUUACCAAUAGACGAUUGGCUCGCAUUUUUCGGUUGGGGCGACCUUGGAGAAAAACACAUCCUCCAAAAAUAAGACCACCCAUCCUAACCAAGACCAACCACUCAAAGUGCUAAUAGUAACCAGACCCAGUAUAACUGAUUAAUGAACCAAGCUACCCCAUGGAUAACAGCGCAAUCCCCUUCAAGAGCCCAUAUCGACAAGGG
This 952-nucleotide ribosomal RNA is filed under the name Gallirallus australis (weka). RNAcentral describes it as "partial 16S ribosomal RNA". It matches the Rfam family "Bacterial large subunit ribosomal RNA", at positions 920 to 2514 of the family's 2925-position model. Lineage: Eukaryota; Metazoa; Chordata; Aves; Gruiformes; Rallidae. The record is from RNAcentral.